GGAAGUAAAAGUCGUAACAAGAUUUCCGUAGGUGAACCUGCGGAAGGAUCAUUAUUGUAUAACCGAGGUGCGAGGGCUGUCGCUGACCCGAAAGGUCGUGCACGCCCGAGUGCCCUCACACACAUCCAUCUCACCCCUAUGUGCACCACCGCGUGGGUCCCCCUUUGGCUUGUUCGGAGGGGGGCUUACGUUUUCACACAAACUUUGUAUGCAGUGUAGAAUGUAUUUUUUGUUUUUGCGAUCACGCAAUCAAUACAACUUCCAACAACGGAUCUCUUGGCUCUC
RNAcentral lists this unclassified non-coding RNA (285 nucleotides) under plant metagenome. Its description in RNAcentral is "partial contains small subunit ribosomal RNA and internal transcribed spacer 1". The stretch from base 1 to 54 matches the Rfam family "Eukaryotic small subunit ribosomal RNA", at positions 1778 to 1831 of the family's 1831-position model. The record is from RNAcentral.